GAUGAACGCUGGCGGCAGGCUUAACACAUGCAAGUCGAACGCCCCGCAAGGGGAGUGGCAGACGGGUGAGUAACGCGUGGGAACAUACCCUUUCCUGCGGAAUAGCUCUGGGAAACUGGAAUUAAUACCGCAUACGCCCUACGGGGGAAAGAUUUAUCGGGGAAGGAUUGGCCCGCGUUGGAUUAGCUAGUUGGUGGGGUAAAGGCCUACCAAGGCGACGAUCCAUAGCUGGUCUGAGAGGAUGAUCAGCCACAUUGGGACUGAGACACGGCCCAAACUCCUACGGGAGGCAGCAGUGGGGAAUAUUGGACAAUGGGCGCAAGCCUGAUCCAGCCAUGCCGCGUGAGUGAUGAAGGCCUUAGGGUUGUAAAGCUCUUUCACCGAUGAAGAUAAUGACGGUAGUCGGAGAAGAAGCCCCGGCUAACUUCGUGCCAGCCGCCGCCGUAA
RNAcentral lists this ribosomal RNA (447 nucleotides) under uncultured bacterium. RNAcentral describes it as "partial 16S ribosomal RNA". It matches the Rfam family "Bacterial small subunit ribosomal RNA", at positions 28 to 523 of the family's 1533-position model. The record is from RNAcentral.